Molecule: long non-coding RNA, 389 nt
Organism: Passer domesticus (house sparrow)
Lineage: Eukaryota; Metazoa; Chordata; Aves; Passeriformes; Passeridae
Exons: 2
Source: RefSeq, a predicted model, not a curated record
GGUAAAAUGUUGGCGGCGUCGAGGGCGGCGAGUUCGGCUUUUUCCUCGCGGCGGCGGCCGAGGCGGCGGCAGCGGGCCAGGGAGGGGGGCGCCUGGAAAAGGCCAAAAUCCGCCCAAAAUCCACCCAAAACGGGGCCCAAAUCCCAAAAUGGACCCGAAAUCCCAAAAUUUCACCCCAAAACCCCCAAAAUUCCGGCAGGAUCCCCUUCAAAUUAACAAAAUUUUACCCAAAAAUCUGCCCAAAAUCCUGCUGAAAAUGCCCAAAUUUUACCCAAAAUCCCACCAAAAUCCACCUAAAACGGGGCCCAAAUCCCAAAAUGGACCCGAAAUCCCAAAAUUCCACCCCAAAAGUCCAAAAUUCUGCCAGAAUCCGCUUAAAAAUUGUGCAA